CUCAAAUGUCAUCAAAUCUGUGGUGCGUUUGCUCUUCCACUGUGUUCACAACACUCUGUUUCCUUAUUCUUUUUCUACAGCCAGUUUUUUUGUGCUUCCAUACUAUACUCACCUGGAGGCUCCUCAGAUGAAAACAUUUUACUUGUCUCUUAUUCAGCAACUAGCAGUGAAUACACAUAAUAAACAUACUAUUACAUGUUAAAUUUAAAUGCUUUUUGGUGAUAUAACAAUCUCUGUAUAAAAACAAGAAAUCUUCUGCAUCCGUGGAUGUUUUAUUGCCCUUGUCUAGCUUGUAUUAACACAUAGUCUACAGGCACACACCUGAUCAUCUACAUUUGCUCUCUUACAACACUAAACUAUGUUUUCUACCUUUAUCUUGCAUCUACCUACCACUUCAGCAUUUUAUUAAAAAUAAUAAUAAUAAUAAUAAUAAAGGGAGAAAUGUGGGAUCCACAUAUAAAUCAAGUAUAAAAACCAAACGAAUAUUCAUAUUUGACCUGAUUGUUUAUAGUUCAUAAUGCAUGAGCAAAACCGAAAGUUUCUGUGAUGACUGCCCUUGUACUGUUCACCAUGUAAGAACUUAUUCACUAUGUAAGAAUUUGUUCACCAUGGAAGAA
Molecule: long non-coding RNA, 617 nt
Organism: Manis pentadactyla (Chinese pangolin)
Lineage: Eukaryota; Metazoa; Chordata; Mammalia; Pholidota; Manidae
Exons: 2
Source: RefSeq, a predicted model, not a curated record